This is a long non-coding RNA of Quercus robur (English oak), 419 nucleotides long. RefSeq lists it as uncharacterized. The record is from RefSeq and is a predicted model, not a curated record. NCBI's taxonomy places the organism in Eukaryota, Viridiplantae, Streptophyta, Magnoliopsida, Fagales, Fagaceae. The transcript has 2 exons.
CACACUCUAAAAUUAUUUCACCAGGGGUGAGGGGCUGUCCGCUCUUUUUGGAAUAAAGUUAUGGGCCAUACGAGCACCAAACAAGUCUUAUAAACGUGCAUAAGAAGUUGAAAUCUUUGCCACUAUUGUUUGCAUGAUUUGAAUUUCAGGUGGCUGGGUUGGAUGCUGAUAUGUCCCACGUUCUUGGAGGACUUCAUCUUAUCUUAUGCACUGGAGUUUAAGGAAAUUGAUGCACACCGGCAAUGGCCAAUUCUAUGACACGAUGCUAUGUGCUGUUUGUAAUUGUAGGGACUUCAGUUUUUGUAGGGAGAUGGGCUUUCAAUAACUGAUUAGUGUAGAAUGUAGAAAUCCAAAGCUUUCAAACUCUCUUUUCCAUUGUACAAAAUAAUAUCAAUUACUAAAGUUCUCUAUUGCUUUUA